Scatophagus argus is the source of this 757-nucleotide long non-coding RNA. RefSeq lists it as uncharacterized. The transcript has 5 exons. NCBI's taxonomy places the organism in Eukaryota, Metazoa, Chordata, Actinopteri, Scatophagidae. The record is from RefSeq and is a predicted model, not a curated record.
CAUAGGUGUUGGCAACAUGACAGGCAUUUCGCUAAUGCUGGAUACCGUUAGUAAAGUAAAAUAAACAAAAGUACGUAUAUAAAAAUUGAAAAAUAAAAGCCAAUUAAAUAUAACAACGCCACGUGAGCUGACUGACGUCAGACGCUGUCACCGUCCGUCCGGCGGUUAGCAUUUGUGUUUUGAAACAACGGCAAUUUGUCAGGAGUUCAUACAACGUUUUUAUGAAGUGUGGUGAAUCAAGGGAAGAGCAGCAACUGGACCUCGUCGGUGGUGCAACUGGAAUCCAGACUCUCUUCGAGGGAAAAUUCCCCCUUUCUCCGUUUCCCAUCGGCUGGCUUGUAACUCAGAAAGACUUCUUUCCUUAUGAAUGAAGCAAGAUGAAGAGGAGACAGUAGGGUGUCACUGAAGGUAACCGAAGUGAAGGUGUUGUUACAGGGGUUGGACCGUGUGCUUUUCCAACUCUGGCAACUGCCAACAAACAAGUCUCCGGGUGUCCGUGUGGGUCUGAAGCUCAGCACUCGUCUUCUGCUUCUCUGAUGGGUGGAAUCAAGCUGCUUGUUGAUUUAAACUGAGUGACUUGGUUGAUGGUGAGAGUAUUCACAGGCUUGAUCUGUAUGGUCCUCUGGUAAAAUGGAGACCUUUGGAAAAUUGUGAAGAGUCUCCCACUCCCGCUUCAGAUACUCGAGGGAGCCGACGAACACAAUGUGCUUCAGCUCAUGGUAGUGAAAGUUGCUCGCUCUCAGAGGCAUGACAAAGU